CCCUUAGAUGUCCUGGACCGCACGCGUGCUACACUGACGCAUACAGCGAGCACUUUCCAGUUCCGAGAGGCUACUGGUAAUCAUCAAUAUGCGUCGUGAUGGGGAUAGAUCUUUGGAAUUCUGGAUCUUGAACGAGGAAUGCCUAGUAAUCGCAGGUCAUUAGCCUGCGAUGAUUAAGUCCCUGCCCUUUGUACACACCGCCCGUCGCUACUACCGAUUUCGAGUGGUCAGGUGAAUCUUUCGGACUGUGGGCGCCCUUGAGGUGUUCGCGGAAAGUCAGGUAAAUCUUAUCACUUAGAGGAAGUAAAAGUCGUAACA
RNAcentral lists this ribosomal RNA (318 nucleotides) under uncultured eukaryote. Its description in RNAcentral is "partial 18S ribosomal RNA". It matches the Rfam family "Eukaryotic small subunit ribosomal RNA", at positions 1470 to 1796 of the family's 1831-position model. The record is from RNAcentral.